This is an unclassified non-coding RNA of Stylophora pistillata, 1067 nucleotides long. NCBI's taxonomy places the organism in Eukaryota, Metazoa, Cnidaria, Anthozoa, Scleractinia, Pocilloporidae. The record is from RefSeq and is a predicted model, not a curated record.
AGACCCGAAACCAGUCUACCUUAUCUUCUGGAGAUGGUUAGCAGUAGGCAUAGCAGUAGGCAGUCAAGAUGUCGCGAUUCACGUCAUAAGUGACCACAUCGUGAGGCAAACGAUUAUUAAAGACAGAUUAUUGAAAGUAAUGGAAGGAAGAGUGUCUCCCGACUGAGAAAUUAGAGGAAUACACGACUGUAGCCACGUAAAUAAUCAGACGCCAAGGAAACGUGUGAGAAUUAUAAGAACAGAGGCCAAAACAAGAACUUCAAGGGAGCUAUGAUCGACAGGUAGCUGUAGCUUAUUCUCUACAGUGAAAGCUAUAUAAGAAAAUUGAAACAAUUUUUUUCGCCAAAAUGAUUCAGUUGUGGGCCAACUUUGAGAAAAAAUUACUGUUAAAUGGAAUCUGAGUGACAUGUCACCGACUAAUGAAAUUCGCGCAGAAUUGGGUACAGUGGAGGAGGUUUGUGGAGUGAACAGCUGCAGUGAGCUACGUAAAUAUAUGACCGAUGAAGCUGAAAUUUUUCGACGAACCGCAAAACUGAACGCACUAGCGCUUGUUCUAAGUACAUCGGAUUGUAUAGUCAUGUUUGACUUCAUUCUGGUAGAAAAACACUCCAUGGAAUACGGAAGAGGCCGAAGGAUGGAGGUACAUCGGAUUGAAUUGUCAUCUUGGGCUCUAUUCUGGAAGAAAAACACUUCAUGGAGUACGGAAAAAAUCGAAGGAUGGAGGGACUUUUUUCUGCUUUUGAAUUUUCCAUGAGCAAAGAUGUUUCCACAAGUAAAAAGCUUCCACGUGUGAAUUUGUGCGCAAUUAAUAUGAAGAGGAGCGGUUGCCGCGAAAAUUCCCCUAGGGGCUCUCCCAGUUGCAGAUGAUAAGGUGGGCAUCCCUCAAUCAGAUGACAGGGUAUCCCUCAGUUUUAAUCAAGUCUUAGGCGCGAUAAGGAGCCAAUGAUCGGGAAACGAUUCCACAUCCCUCUCUCGAAAGGACACAUGACCGCCUGACUUGACGGUAUGAAAGGACAACGAUUCAUUAGCUCGAGAAUCACAAGCUAUUUAUUCUUCGAAAUAAAUGA